RNAcentral lists this unclassified non-coding RNA (250 nucleotides) under fungal sp. Its description in RNAcentral is "partial internal transcribed spacer region". The stretch from base 1 to 46 matches the Rfam family "Eukaryotic small subunit ribosomal RNA", at positions 1786 to 1831 of the family's 1831-position model. The record is from RNAcentral. Lineage: Eukaryota; Fungi.
AAGUCGUAACAAGGUUUCCGUAGGUGAACCUGCGGAAGGAUCAUUAGCGAGAGCCUGCCACCGAUGAUAUGAGUCGGUGCGCAAGCGCGCCAUCCUUGUGUUGUGUGUCUGGUGUUGUGUGUGUGCGCAUGCGCUUGCUGCGCGUGUGCACAUGCGCGCAUUUUUCUCACUCUAUUCAUUCGUGUCUAAUCAUCAUGCCCGCAUGGGCACAAACAACCGAAAACUGCCAGCAAUGGAUCACUCGGUUCUC